CGCAGAGUGGAGCAGUCCGGUAGCUCGCCGGGGUCAUAUCCCGGAGGUCGGCGGUUCAAAUCCGUCCUCUGCUA
This 74-nucleotide transfer RNA is filed under the name bacterium. Its description in RNAcentral is "tRNA-Met". It matches the Rfam family "tRNA". From Rfam's summary of the family: Transfer RNA (tRNA) molecules are approximately 80 nucleotides in length. The record is from RNAcentral.